GGGGAUUUAGCUCAGAGGCAUAAGCACCUGCCUUGCAAGCAGGUGGUCGCGAGUUCGAUUCUGCCAGUACCGA
Transfer RNA from Cavia porcellus (domestic guinea pig), 73 nucleotides. It matches the Rfam family "tRNA". From Rfam's summary of the family: Transfer RNA (tRNA) molecules are approximately 80 nucleotides in length. Their secondary structure includes four short double-helical elements and three loops (D, anti-codon, and T loops). Further hydrogen bonds mediate the characteristic L-shaped molecular structure. tRNAs have two regions of fundamental functional importance: the anti-codon, which is responsible for specific mRNA codon recognition, and the 3' end, to which the tRNAs corresponding amino acid is attached (by aminoacyl-tRNA synthetases). tRNAs cope with the degeneracy of the genetic code in two manners: having more than one tRNA (with a specific anti-codon) for a particular amino acid; and 'wobble' base-pairing, i.e. permitting non-standard base-pairing at the 3rd anti-codon position. Lineage: Eukaryota; Metazoa; Chordata; Mammalia; Rodentia; Caviidae. The record is from Rfam.